ACGGUCGGGUUUGCCACGAAGGAUCCUUCCAAAGGCCUAUUAAGUGAAUUCCUGUAGCUCAUUCAGCCGAUGGAAGGUAGAAGGGACUCAGAACUUCAGGCCUAAUUCUGCGUUUUUGUAUGCCCCAAGAAUGAAAGGGCUCUUUGUGAAUUUGCAUGUAGAUUUAUUUAACAUUCAACCGGCAGAAAACGGAAGGUAGUGCAUGACACUGGGGGGAACCAGGCCCCCGCCCACCUCACAUCGUCAUGGCAUUAGCUGUUUACUGGCUCCCGUGGAAACAUUGGAAGGGGAUUUGUUUUGUGGUUGGGUUUCCUUUUUUUUUUUUUUUUAGCAUGAUUGCAGUUAGAUCUGCAGUAUUUCCUCAAAUAUGUGAGGGGAAGGGAGCGGUGACUUCCUAAAGGAAAGUAUUUAUAUUUUUAGACUGAAAUAGGCUGUUACAAAGCUUUUCUCCAAAAACACAUUUAAAAAAGGAGUGUUCUAAACAAUAGAAAAUGUAUCUUAACGCAUAGUUAAGGAGCACCAAGAAAAUGCUUCUGGAUGUUGGAAUGUCAGCCUCGACUCCGCUUCUUUCUGAACUCGCUUGUUCUGCUUCGGGCUCCCAUGUCAGCAGUGUCGUGGAGAGCUCGUCCGUGUGAAGGGACAGCAUCCCGGCCAGGCCAUGGAUGGUGGCCCGGGAGGAGGAAGUGUGAGCGGGUCAAGAGAGAGAGAAGGCAUGAGAGAGGCACUCUGCUCGGAUGACACAGCCCACACUGUUUUGCCACAGAUUUGUGGUGUAUCACAGCUCGAGGGAGUCCUGGAGGCCACCCAGGCCAGGGUUUCUCAUGUUGUUGACCAUGUGCACCAGGAGGUGAGGCCUGGGAAUCCACCUACUUAGUGGCUCAGGAGAGCUGGCCCAAUAACCAGCUGGUACAGAGGCCUCAUUUCAUCGAGGAGCAGUCUGGACUGGAGAGGCCACAGGACUCGGAACAGCACCAGAUUGAAAGCAGAGCCCAUUUGAGACGUGGCUUAAAGAGGGACACCAUGCUGUCCAAACGUGGGUGUAGACAGAGCAGACACAGCCUCUUUUAUCUGCUUAUUGUGGCUCUGGGAAGACAGCUCCCCAACCCCUCCAUUCCUCUCUCAUUUGUUCAUCUUGAAACCCAUUAAGAGGGCACAAAACCUUUAUGUCACAGUGGGAGAUAAUAUGUGAAUGAUUCUUAGAAAGUCCUAGGAGUUAGAAGGAGAGCAGUGCACCAACACAGAGAUUCAACUCUAGGAGAAAACAUCAGUCCCAGCUGUGGCUAGGGUGACACUGUUGUCUGCAUCUUCGCUGAAAAGCUCCAUCAUUUCUACCAAAAAGCAGACAAAAUGUCUUACUGUUACGCC
RNAcentral lists this long non-coding RNA (1365 nucleotides) under Homo sapiens (human). RNAcentral describes it as "HSALNT0323996". Lineage: Eukaryota; Metazoa; Chordata; Mammalia; Primates; Hominidae. The record is from RNAcentral.